RNAcentral lists this ribosomal RNA (457 nucleotides) under uncultured bacterium. Its description in RNAcentral is "bacterial SSU rRNA". It matches the Rfam family "Bacterial small subunit ribosomal RNA", at positions 335 to 784 of the family's 1533-position model. The record is from RNAcentral.
ACUCCUACGGGAGGCAGCAGUGGGGAAUAUUGCACAAUGGGCGCAAGCCUGAUGCAGCCAUGCCGCGUGUGUGAAGAAGGCCUUCGGGUUGUAAAGUACUUUCAGCAGUGAGGAAGGCGGGUACGUUAAUAGCGUGCUUGUUUGACGUUAGCUGCAGAAGAAGCACCGGCUAACUCCGUGCCAGCAGCCGCGGUAAUACGGAGGGUGCGAGCGUUAAUCGGAAUUACUGGGCGUAAAGCGCAUGCAGGUGGUUUGUUAAGUCAGAUGUGAAAGCCCGGGGCUCAACCUCGGAAUUGCAUUUGAAACUGGCAGACUAGAGUACUGUAGAGGGGGGUAGAAUUUCAGGUGUAGCGGUGAAAUGCGUAGAGAUCUGAAGGAAUACCGGUGGCGAAGGCGGCCCCCUGGACAGAUACUGACACUCAGAUGCGAAAGCGUGGGGAGCAAACAGGAUUAGAUA